This 61-nucleotide transfer RNA is filed under the name Haplothrips aculeatus. Its description in RNAcentral is "tRNA-Ala". Lineage: Eukaryota; Metazoa; Arthropoda; Insecta; Thysanoptera; Phlaeothripidae. The record is from RNAcentral.
GGGACUAUAGUUUAAUAAAAUAUUUAUUUAGCAAAUAAAAGAUGUAUAAUUACUUGUCUUA